GUGAAAUUCUUGGAUUUACUCAAGACUAACUACUGCGAAAGCAUUUGCCAAGGACGCUUUCAUUGAUCAAGAACGAAGGUCGGGGGAUCGAAAACGAUUAGAUACCGUUGUAGUCUUAACAGUAAACUAUGCCGACUCCGAAUCGGUCGAUGCUCAUUUCACUGGCUCGAUCGGCGCGGUACGAGAAAUCAAAGUUUUUGGG
This 202-nucleotide ribosomal RNA is filed under the name Leptocylindrus danicus. RNAcentral's name for it is "partial Eukaryotic small subunit ribosomal RNA". It matches the Rfam family "Eukaryotic small subunit ribosomal RNA", at positions 911 to 1111 of the family's 1831-position model. The record is from RNAcentral. Lineage: Eukaryota; Bacillariophyta; Leptocylindrophyceae; Leptocylindrales; Leptocylindraceae.